GAUGAACGCUGGCGGCGUGCCUAAUACAUGCAAGUCGAGCGAACAGAUGAGGAGCUUGCUUCUCUGACGUUAGCGGCGGACGGGUGAGUAACACGUGGAUAACCUACCUAUAAGACUGGGAUAACUUCGGGAAACCGGAGCUAAUACCGGAUAAUAUUUUGAACCGCAUGGUUCAAAAGUGAAAGACGGUUUUGCUGUCACUUAUAGAUGGAUCCGCGCUGCAUUAGCUAGUUGGUAAGGUAACGGCUUACCAAGGCAACGAUGCGUAGCCGACCUGAGAGGGUGAUCGGCCACACUGGAACUGAGACACGGUCCAGACUCCUACGGGAGGCAGCAGUAGGGAAUCUUCCGCAAUGGGCGAAAGCCUGACGGAGCAACGCCGCGUGAGUGAUGAAGGUCUUCGGAUCGUAAAACUCUGUUAUUAGGGAAGAACAAAUGUGUAAGUAACUAUGCACGUCUUGACGGUACCUAAUCAGAAAGCCACGGCUAACUACGUG
This 497-nucleotide ribosomal RNA is filed under the name uncultured bacterium. Its description in RNAcentral is "partial 16S ribosomal RNA". It matches the Rfam family "Bacterial small subunit ribosomal RNA", at positions 28 to 507 of the family's 1533-position model. The record is from RNAcentral.